GAUAGGUUCCAGGCUUUCCUAAACCACAGAGUAGCAGAGAAAUUCCCCCUCCCAAGGGUCUGCUGGCACCGUGCUCCACCUCCCAGCAGGAGCAUCCUCUGCACUCUGCUCCUCCAGCUACAGGAAAGGAAAAAGGGAAAAGUCCUACUUCAAUGUUACAGCACUUUCUCAAAGCAAGCAAAUGAAGAGGAGAUGCCAAGAGUAGCCAUGGGUGGAACAGCUACUCUGAGGAAGAAGGAGGAGUGUUUGCAAUUCGAACAAAGCCCUGUGCGAUGUCUCUUGAAGUCUCUGGGUGUUAUUCCCAGCAAGCCCUAAAAUGUUCUGUCUGCAGGAAAGGGUCCAGCACAGCUUCCCCGAUCCACAGGGCCAGGGGCGUCCUGCUCCCAGGGCUACCCUUGGGUGCAGGCUGGGGAUUUGCAGCGACACACACAGCGAUGCUGGAUGCAGAGCACCGUGUUGAGUUAAAACCAGAUGCAAACCUGUCUUCUCGGGGUUCAAUUAAAAAAAAAAAAAGGAAUUUUGCCCCGGUGUGCUGGAUUCAAACGGUGCAGCCGCUAUCAGAGAGAGCUUCGCCUUGCCCCGCAGAGGGGACAUCCCACGCUUUGCAGGAAGGUGAGGACGCUGAUUUGUACCCUUUUUUCCUUUCCCCCUUGCACCUCUGUAUCAUUUUCCUGCAGCGACCACCCGUGUGACAGUGAUGAGAGGAGACAUCCGCGAUGCCGGCGCGCUCCUGGCUGCCAUGCGGGGCGCACACGUGGUGCUGCACACAGCUGCUGUGGUGGACUACAGGGGCACGCUGCCCUUCGGGGAGAUGAGAGCAGUCAACGUCGGGGUUCUGCAGCUAUCAGGAGUCUGAUGGAGUGAUUUCACCCUGUAGCACCUUGCAGAGCUUCUACAGAGCAACACAUAGAACUAAAACCCUGAUCCUUUGCCACAAGACUGCAGUUCACCAACAAUCUGCCCACAAGUGAAAAAAGAUGGAGUUUCGCUCUGCCAAGCCCUCAUCUUCCCUUUGUUAGCAGCUCUAAAGCCCAAGUUAAGCCAGUUGCCAAUGGCCAUGGAAGGUCAGCCACAUCAGAGCUAUGGAUGUGACUGCUACUGAUGUUAUCAACCAUCCCCUCCUGAGGAAAUGCAGCCCUGACCUUUACAUAUUUUCUGCCAUAAAAAAAGAUGGAUUCGUUCCAAGUCAGAAAAAGCCUGGGAAUCUCUUUGGAUUUGCACAGCAGGAAGCAAGGCAAGGUGGUUGAUGUUUGUCCUUCCCAUCCUGCCCCACAGGCACUGAAAAUGUGUUAAGGGCCUGCUGUGUCCUGAGCAUCCCCUACCUGCUGUACACCAGCUCCAUCGCUGCCGUGGGGCCCAACACCUCCUGUGAGCCCCUGCUCAGGUGAGGCUCAGCAAAUCUUCUCCACUGCCCUGUUUGUCCAGUCAAACAGCAAAGGAACUGCAGCCAGAGGGAGAUUUCAGCUGUGGCUACCAAGGAGAAGAUUUGUGUUCCCCUUCCUGUCUGCUCCUCUUCUCUUUCUUGAAACCCCUUCCUUGCUGUUCUGCCCGUUUAGGAACCAUGGCUGUUCCCAGCCUAAGCCUGGCCAGCGACAGCCCAAGGUGACAGCUGUGUGUCCCAGCUGUCCCUGGAUCUACAGCCCUGCUCCUCUGAGCCCUAAAAUCACUUGCAGAUAAGGUUUCAGGUGCUCAAAGUUUGGGAUAUGGGCAAAUUACAUCCUGCUGUUGGGUCAGUUUUUGCUCUCCCUCCCAAUGAGUCAACCCAAAGGGCAGGUGGUACCCCACUGGUACCCCCACACUGCCCCUCCUCCUCCCAGCUCCACAGGGGACUGCCUGCAAGCCUGUGCCCAGCUCCUGUUACCAAAUGUGGGCAAGUCUCCUGUAGCAUUAUCCCAGAAAAAAGCAAUUUGCUAUGAAGGCGUAGGGGACAGAUGCACGGGUGUGAGCCUGCCUUUGUUACCUGCUUCUGACCUGUAAAUUGUACCCUGCUGUCUCUCAAAAUCCUUCUUGCUGGCAACAAUGCUCAUGAGGGCUCCCUGCUGGGCUGCUGGAUGUCACCUCUUCAGGGCAUUAAGCUCAUCCCUUCUCUGUGGCUCCCAUGAGUUUGACCCACAGACGCAGGAACAGCAGCAGAUCAAUAGAAAACCCCCUGUGGCAAAGGUGGCAUUUAGAUCAAUACAAAGACAGUGGUCAAAAUAACAAUUUUGAGGGGUUUUUUCUGCUUUGGUCUCCAGAAGUGACUUUGACAAUCAGCUGACACCCCUGCUCAGGGCUCAGCAUCAGGACACCUUUUGUAUCCCUGGGGCAACAGCACCUGCAGAGCAGGCGAGAGAGCAGGGCUGAUAUUUCUGAAAAACAGGGGCUGAAGUUUUAGGUUAAAUUUGAGAUCAGUCUGAUGUGUACUAUUGGAAAGUUCCUUGCUGAUUUUAAGCCUGGUUGUAGCCACACAAACUGCUCAGCCCCUGGAAAUUUGUGUGCCAGGGGAGCUGGCUCCAAGUCAAGUGGUAUCUCCACAGGCUGGACACAGCUGCCUUCAGUCCCUUGGCUCAAGAAAUUUGAGCCCAGCUAAAAAAGGCAUAACUUAAAAUUACCUACAAGCCUAAAUUUCAUGCUCACAAGUAAGUCAAGGCAUAAGCCUGUUGUUUGGAAAAGCCUCUAAGCACUCAGAUCUGUAGAAUAAAUGUCUGGCUUAUGAAAAAAUCCACGAGAGCAACCCAAUCCACUUGGGACCACAAGCACUGGAGACUGUGUCACUGCAAAGCUAUGGAAUUUGGUCACUAGCAAAUACAAAUAAUUCCUAAGAAUUCAUGUAGAUACAGGCACAUCCCCGUCAGUACUUUAGUGCUGUGACUUAAGAGAGAUGUGAACAAAUGUCUUAAAAAACCAGCCCCAGAUCAUGCCUGACCACAGCCUUUUGUCUUGUAAUGGUGGCACCAGCAGGGACAAACAAAACGCACCCAGGCUGAUGCUCAUGGAGCUAUGAACAGCCCUUCCCACCACAAACAAAACCACACCUGGGGCUUUUCACUCAUUUUGCAGAACACACUCAGAUUCCCCCAUUAUGCUGAGA
This is an RNA transcript of Hirundo rustica (Barn swallow), 3070 nucleotides long. It is a transcript of the gene named hydroxy-delta-5-steroid dehydrogenase, 3 beta- and steroid delta-isomerase 7, with no coding region annotated. The record is from RefSeq and is a predicted model, not a curated record. Lineage: Eukaryota; Metazoa; Chordata; Aves; Passeriformes; Hirundinidae. The transcript has 4 exons.